CAGUAACGGCGAGUGAAGCGGCAACAGCUCAAAUUUGAAAUCUGGCCCCCCGCGGGCCCGAGUUGUACUUUGGAGAGGACGCUUCUGGCGCGGCGCCGUCCGAGUUCCCUGGAACGGGACGCCGGAGAGGGUGAGAGCCCCGUACGGGCGGCCGCCUAGCCUCUGCGAAGCUCCUUCGACGAGUCGAGUAGUUUGGGAAUGCUGCUCAAAAUGGGAGGUAAAUUUCUUCUAAAGCUAAAUACCGGCCAGAGACCGAUAGCGCACAAGUAGAGUGAUCGAAAGAUGAAAAGCACUUUGAAAAGAGGGUCAAACAGUACGUGAAAUUGUUGAAAGGGAAGCGCCUGUGGCCAGACUUGCGCCCCGCGGACCACCCGGCGCCUCGCGCGCCGGGGCACGCCAGCGGGGCGCAGGCCAGCAUCGGCUCUCUCGGGGGGACAAAGGCCGCGGGAACGUAGCGCCCUCGCGGCGUAUUAUAGCCCGCGGCGCCAUGCCCCCGGGGGGGCCGAGGACCGCGCUCCGGCAAGGAUGCUGGCGUAAUGGCCACCGGCGACCCGUCUUGAAACACGGACCAAGGAGUCAAGCAUUGGGGCGAGUGUCUGGGUGGCAAGCCCGCACGCGGAAUGAAAGUGAACGCAGGUGGGAGCUUCGGCGCACCACCGACCGAUCCUGAUGUCCUCGGAUGGAUUUGAGUAGGAGCCCCGCCGCUUGGACCCGAAAGAUGGUGAACUAUGCCUGUAUAGGGUGAAGCCAGAGGAAACUCUGGUGGAGGCCCGCAGCGUUCUGACGUGCAAAUCGAUCGUC
RNAcentral lists this ribosomal RNA (801 nucleotides) under Harringtonia lauricola. Its description in RNAcentral is "Raffaelea lauricola partial large subunit ribosomal RNA". It matches the Rfam family "Eukaryotic large subunit ribosomal RNA", at positions 81 to 906 of the family's 3401-position model. The record is from RNAcentral. Lineage: Eukaryota; Fungi; Ascomycota; Sordariomycetes; Ophiostomatales; Ophiostomataceae.